AAACAGCCAUUGUUUCUGAUCUUUCCCUACUUGGAUAACGCUAAUACAUGCUCCACGUUCUGACCUCACGGGAUGAGCGCAUUUUAGAACAAAACCAAUCGCUGCGUCUGGUGGAUCUGAAUAACUCAGCGUAUGGCUCGACCACGUAUCUU
Molecule: ribosomal RNA, 152 nt
Filed under: Axonolaimus paraspinosus
Lineage: Eukaryota; Metazoa; Nematoda; Chromadorea; Araeolaimida; Axonolaimidae
Description: partial 18S ribosomal RNA
Source: RNAcentral